Molecule: ribosomal RNA, 503 nt
Filed under: uncultured bacterium
Lineage: Bacteria
Description: partial 16S ribosomal RNA
Rfam family: Bacterial small subunit ribosomal RNA
Source: RNAcentral
AUUGAACGCUGGCGGCAGGCUUAACACAUGCAAGUCGAGCGGGGUGAUGGUGCUUGCACUAUCACUUAGCGGCGGACGGGUGAGUAAUGCUUAGGAAUCUGCCUAUUAGUGGGGGACAACAUCUCGAAAGGGAUGCUAAUACCGCAUACGUCCUACGGGAGAAAGCAGGGGAUCACUUGUGACCUUGCGCUAAUAGAUGAGCCUAAGUCGGAUUAGCUAGUUGGUGGGGUAAAGGCCUACCAAGGCGACGAUCUGUAGCGGGUCUGAGAGGAUGAGCCGCCACACUGGGACUGAGACACGGCCCAGACUCCUACGGGAGGAAGCAGUGGGGAAUAUUGGACAAUGGGGGGAACCCUGAUCCAGCCAUGCCGCGUGUGUGAAGAAGGCCUUAUGGUUGUAAAGCACUUUAAGCGAGGAGGAGGCUCUUUUGGUUAAUACCCAAGAUGAGUGGACGUUACUCGCAGAAUAAGCACCGGCUAACUCUGUGCCAGCAGCCGCCGUAA